UACGGGGGGGGCAAGCGUUGUUCGGAAUUACUGGGCGUAAAGGGCUCGUAGGCGGCCAACUAAGUCGGAUGUGAAAUCCCCAGGCUCAACCUGGGAACGGCAUCCGAUACUGGAUGGCUUGAAUCCGGGAGAGGGAUGCAGAAUUCCAGGUGUAGCGGUGAAAUGCGUAGAUAUCUGGAGGAAUACCGGUGGCGAAGGCGGCAUCCUGGACCGGCAUUGACGCUGAGGAGCGAAAGCUAGGGGAGCAAACGGG
This 253-nucleotide ribosomal RNA is filed under the name uncultured bacterium. RNAcentral describes it as "partial 16S ribosomal RNA". It matches the Rfam family "Bacterial small subunit ribosomal RNA", at positions 524 to 776 of the family's 1533-position model. The record is from RNAcentral.